AUGCAGCUGUUAGAGAAGCAUUUGAUGUGGCAUACGAUAACAUCUAUGCAUUUCAUGCUGCGCAAAGAUCGGUUGAGAGAACCGUUGAAAACAUGAAAGGUGUUAAAUGCAAACGAGUGGCAAGGACCAUUACCUCUGUUGGUCUUUAUGUUCCUGGGGGAACUGCAGUUUUACCUUCGACGGCUCUGAUGCUCUCAGUUCCUGCACAGAUUGCUGGGUGUAAAACUGUUAUUGUUGCAACCCCCCCUGCUCAGGAUGGAAGC
Molecule: long non-coding RNA, 263 nt
Organism: Cornus florida
Lineage: Eukaryota; Viridiplantae; Streptophyta; Magnoliopsida; Cornales; Cornaceae
Exons: 3
Source: RefSeq, a predicted model, not a curated record